GCCCAGGUGGCGGAACUGGUAGACGCACUACCUUGAGGUGGUAGCGCCGCAAGGCGUAGGGGUUCGAGUCCCCUCUUGGGCA
Rhodanobacter sp. FW510-R10 is the source of this 82-nucleotide non-coding RNA. NCBI's taxonomy places the organism in Bacteria, Pseudomonadati, Pseudomonadota, Gammaproteobacteria, Lysobacterales, Rhodanobacteraceae. The record is from Rfam.